AACGAACGCUGGCGGCGUGCCUAACACAUGCAAGUCGUGCGAGAAAGUUCCUUCGGGAGCGAGUAAAGCGGCGCACGGGUGAGUAACACGUAGGUAACCUGCCCCCCAGUCUGGAACAACUAGAGGAAACUCUAGCUAAUGCCGGAUAAGACCACGGCCCCCUCGGGGGCUGCGGCCAAAGAUGGCCUCUACUUGUACGCUAUCGCUGAGGGAUGGGCCUGCGGGCCAUUAGCUUGUUGGUGAGGUAACGGCUCACCAAGGCUGUGAUGGCUAGCUGGUCUGAGAGGAUGACCAGCCACACUGGGACUGAGACACGGCCCAGACUCCUACGGGAGGCAGCAGUGGGAAUAUUGCGCAAUGGGCGAAAGCCUGACGCAGCGACGCCGCGUGGG
Molecule: ribosomal RNA, 392 nt
Filed under: uncultured bacterium
Lineage: Bacteria
Description: bacterial SSU rRNA
Rfam family: Bacterial small subunit ribosomal RNA
Source: RNAcentral